RNAcentral lists this ribosomal RNA (468 nucleotides) under uncultured bacterium. RNAcentral's name for it is "partial 16S ribosomal RNA". It matches the Rfam family "Bacterial small subunit ribosomal RNA", at positions 28 to 507 of the family's 1533-position model. The record is from RNAcentral.
GAUGAACGCUGACAGAAUGCUUAACACAUGCAAGUCUACUUGAAUUUGGGUUUUUUAACUUAGAUUUGGGUGGCGGACGGGUGAGUAACGCGUAAAGAACUUGCCUCACAGCUAGGGACAACAUUUGGAAACGAAUGCUAAUACCUGAUAUUAUGAUUAUAAGGCAUCUUAGAAUUAUGAAAGCUAUAUGCGCUGUGAGAGAGCUUUGCGUCCCAUUAGCUAGUUGGAGAGGUAACGGCUCACCAAGGCGAUGAUGGGUAGCCGGCCUGAGAGGGUGAACGGCCACAAGGGGACUGGGACACGGCCCUUACUCCUACGGGAGGCAGCAGUGGGGAAUAUUGGACAAUGGACCAAGAGUCUGAUCCAGCAAUUCUGUGUGCACGAUGACGUUUUUCGGAAUGUAAAGUGCUUUCAGUUGGGAAGAAAAAAAUGACGGUACCAACAGAAGAAGUGACGGCUAAAUACGUG